This 4461-nucleotide long non-coding RNA is filed under the name Callithrix jacchus (white-tufted-ear marmoset). RNAcentral describes it as "lncRNA (ENSCJAG00000075765.1)". Lineage: Eukaryota; Metazoa; Chordata; Mammalia; Primates; Cebidae. The record is from RNAcentral.
CUGGACUGGAACAGUAAUUUGUGAAGGGUUUUAAAUGAAAGAGCAAGUGUUCAGACUCCUAGAGAACUCUGAAGACUAAACUGAAUUGAAAUUUGCAGCAAUAUAUGCUAGGGAACUCAUAAUACAUUGCUGAUUACAGGAGUGCAGAGAUGAAAAGUUUAAUAUCAACUCUGGCUCUCCUUCACUGCUAGGGCUAAAUGUGAAUAUUAUCCAAGGAUGUUUCUAAAUGAAUCUCCAGUAGUUCUCUCUUUCCAAGUCAGAUCUCAGAAUCUCUUCACUUGAGUCAAGCUACUCCCAGCUUUGGCACACAUCUGGUCCAACACUACUUUGGGAUAUGUUUUGUUAAGGUUGCUGCUCUGCCUGGAAGGCUCUCAUUCCUCUGCUGCUUGACCCGAGCUUUCCUUCCUCUAAGAACUGCUAGAGGCUCCUAGAUGCCUUUCCAAACCAACUUCUCUUCUAUGAGAUCAGCUCUCAGCUUUGUAUUCCUUGGCGUCUAUGGAGUCUAUUUAUCAGAUACAUGGAGAAGACUGCUGACAGCUGUGGUACAUGCCUCUGGCAACUGUGGACUACAGAAACAUAAAGGACCAAGAAAGUCCCUGUGGGGGGAACCUAACAUCUCAUCUGGGAGAGAGCAAACAAAGAGAUGAAAUUGCUUCGGGAGAGAGUAAAGCCGGAAGAGAAGGAAGGCCAAAGACUACACCUUAGAAGAUCACUGACAUGUAGCUUCUCAGAGUUAGAGGAACCAGAAAAGAAAACUCAGAAGGGGGCGCCACUGAAGCAGGGGGGAAAACAGAACAAUGUGGUGUCCUAAAAGCCGAGAGAUGAAAAACGCUUCACAAAGGCGACCGUUGUGUCGGAUGCACGGAUGACUCAGACAGGCCAAGCAAGGUGCAGACCGUGAACUGGUGAAUGGGUGUUGGGACGUGGAGGUUGCUGGGACUUCAACAAGAGUGGUUUGCUUGUGUAAUGACAACACAAACCUGGUUGGGGGGAUUUCAAGGGCUGGUGAGAAAGCAAAGACCACUUUUCAAUAUUUUCCUUAUGUUCUGCGCUGUGCAAGGCUCCAUGGGGUCAUGAUAUAGAAGGAAAAAAGGAGAAAAUUUAGGAACAGUAUGGUAAGUCAUUUAGAAAGAGUGAUUAUUUCUGACUAUAGUUGAAAAUAAUCCCUCAGGACAUAUUGGCUGCACUUUUUCCCUUACUAAAUUUAAAAUGGCUGAACUAUCUCAUUUGAACACAUAAAUAUGACUAUUCAUUGAUUCUUAAGACUUUUAAGGUAGUUCUUAUGUCCUGAAUCUGACAGCAGGAAACUUUCAGCAAAUAACUGAAAACAAAGCAAGAUGCUAUUAACUACCCAGCAAAUUCCCCAACAGGAGCAGAGACAAGAACCAGUUGCAUACGAGUACAUUUUCCUGUUGUUAACUUGUGUUAAAUUUCUUUUUCAUUUUAAUCAUAGAAAAAACAAGCAGUUCAAAAUGGGUCUUAUGGAUACAUUUAAGUGUGAUUUUUAAACCUAUGCUUUAAAACCAGAUUUUUAGAUCAAUCACAUUUUCUAGUUAAGAAUAUUAGUACUAGCUAUUGCUUAGAUAGUGACUACUUUCUACUGAUCCCUUACCUAACCUUACUAUUUCCAAUUACUCUUUAAAGUACUUAGUAUUUAAUCCAACCAUAUGCUAGGAGAUAGGUUUUUCUUAUAAAUGAGGAAACUGAGGCUCAGAGGGAUCAAAUGUCUUGCUUAGAGUUAGGAAUGAGAAGCUGGUGGAGCCAGACUUCCUACUGAAGAACAAUUUGGCUCAGUGUCUGGGCUCCUAAUCAUUGGGCAAACUGCUCCUCAAAAUGUGCUCUUUUAACAGGAAAGGAAACCAACCUGCAGCUGCUUUACAGCAAGUGUUUCUUUCUGUAUUAAAAUUUUUUUUUUAAUUUUAGUGGCCAAAUAAAAUGUUAUUGAUAUAUUUAAAAGGUAUUUUUAAGCUUUCAGCCUUGUGGGUGAUUUUUUUUUUUUUUUUUUUUUUUGGUGUAUAAAAAAAUGUACCACAGUGCUCUAAUUAAAAGAGGGCAAUGCCAAUUGCCCCUGAACUUUCAGAGCAGAGAGUUCUGUCUUGAAAGAAGCUUUGUUUAAAAGACAAAGACUAGAAAGAAAAAGUAGUGACAAAGUUUCAUCAGGAGUCAAGUUCUGAGCCAACAGCCAUCUACCAGUUCUCAGAAAUAUUUAGGAUGCUGCCUUUCUUCAAGUUUAAAUUAAAGGAAAGCCAUUAAUGUGUGAUAUUAAUCUUUGCAACCCAGGCCAAAACUCUGUGGGCUUAGGAUGAGAACCCUGAGUCCACAAUGUAGCCAGUCUCAUUGCCCAUCAACCCAGUGACAGCCAGCUAGAAAUAAUAUUGAAUUGAAUUCAGUAAGAAUAUACUGCUGGGAGAGGUGGCUCACACCUAUAAUUCCAACAUUUUGAGAGUCUGAGGUGAUGGAUCACCUGAGGUUCGAGACCAGCCUGGCCAGUAUGGUGAAACCCUGUCUCUACUAAAAAUACAAAAAUUAGCCAGGCAUGCUAGAACAUGCCUGUAAUUCCAGCUACUCUGGAGGCUGAGGCAGGAGAAUCACUUGAACCAAGGUGGCAGAGACUGCAGUGAGCCAGGAUCGCGCCAUUGCACUCCAGCCUGGGCAACAGAAGGAGACUCCAUCUCAAAACACUUUCAUGUUUCUGUUAGGAAAUGGCCAUGGGAAUGACAUUGGUAGCCUACCUUCUUGCUCAUUCUUUCCUAUAAAAUGGGAAUUGUUUUAUCUGAUCAUGAACAGUCAGAGCCUUGGAUAGAGUUUGUUUUACUAGGCAAGAUGCGGUCUGCUCUCUUCUUGCUUCAAUGCUGUCAUAUGGAAGUGUAUCUAUGCUUAUUAGUGCACAUUCUAGAGGCAGAGCAGGAGACCCAUCACACGCUGUCCCCACUCCUGGAGCUCAGUAAGGACAAACAGUAAAAUUUCCCCAUAGAGAUGUAUGGAUAGCAGUCAGCUGGCCAAAUUAGUCUCUCUCUCUUGGAUAAAUUGUCUUGAGGUGGGAUCUUGCUGGAAGUAUUGCAAAAUACUUUUGGCACUAGGACCAAUUCGGUCUCUAAUUUAGAGGUAAUUGCAUAAAAGCUUAUGGACACUGAUUUCUACCUGCUUUCUGUAUAUACAUUUUGGUUUUUUGUUUGUUUGAGGCAGGGUUUGCCCUGUGGCCCAGGCUGGAGUACAGCAGCGUGAUCACAGCUCACUGUAGCCUCGACCUCCUAGGCUCAAGCAGUCCUUCUACCUCAGCCUCCCAAGUAGUUGGGGAUUACAGGCACAUACCACCAUGCCCAGGUAACUUUUUAUUUGUACUUUUUGUAGAGAAAAUAUCCUCCCUAUGUUUCCCAGGCUGGUCUCAGACUCCUGCCCUCAAGUGAUCCUCCUGCCUUAGCCUCCCAAGGCACUGGGAUUUACAAGUAUGAGCCAUGGCAUUCAGCCUGAAGAAACAUUUUUGAAUCCCAUGUUUUAUAUUCAAUCUGCAAUUCAAGAGCAACUCUUGGCCAAGUACAGUGGCUCACACCCAUAAUCCCAAAACUUUGGGAGGCUGAGACAAGUGGAUCAUUUCAGAUCAGGAGUUUGAAACUAGCCUGGCCAAUAUGGCAAAACCCUGUCUCUACUAAAAACACAAAAAUUACUUGGGUUUGGUGGCACGUACCUGUAAUCCCAGUUACUGGGGAGGCUGAGGCAAGAAAUCUGGGAGGCAGAGGUUGUGGUAAGUCGGAUCGUGCCACUGCAUUCUAGCCUGCGUGACAGAGUAAGAGCUUGUCUCCAAAAAAAAAAAAAAUAGCAACUAUUCUUAGUUAUACUUCUAAAAUCUCUCUCAUCUAGCCACUUGUCUCUGCCCAGCUUCUUCACAUGCACACCAUGGUUCCAGAUAUCUUCCUAUCUACCUUCACACUUAUAAAACCCUUCUCACUGGUUUCCUGAUUCUACUUAUAUCUCUCUUUAAUGCAACUAUCAUAUAACAGACAGAGUAAUGAUUGAAAAAUAAAAAACAGGCCAAGAACAGAGGCUCACGCCUGUAAUUCCAACACUUUGGGAGGCCGAGGUGGGAGAAUUGCUUAAGCCCAAGGAAUUUGGUACAAACUCCAUUUGUACAAAAAAUGCAAAAAUAUUAGCCAAGGGAAGCCAUUAGAGACGUUUCCGACACUAUGGCACUCUGGCUGAGAUACUGCACUUUUCCCAUGGUCUUCACAACUUGCAAACCAGGAGAUUCCCUCUUGUGCCUACACCACCAGUGCCUCAGCUUUCCAGCACAAAACUGGGUGGCUGUUCUAGCCGCAGCAGUUUUUUUAUUCUCAUAUGCCAGUGGUACCUAAAAUGCCAGCAAGACAGAACUACUCAUUCCCCUGAAAAAGCGGGCUGAAGCCAAGGAGCCAAGUGAUUCGGCUUGCUGGGUCCCACCCCCACAAAGACCAGCAAGCUAAGAUC